GAUGAACGCUGGCGGCGUGCCUAAUACAUGCAAGUCGAGCGAACGGACGAGAAGCUUGCUUCUCUGAUGUUAGCGGCGGACGGGUGAGUAACACGUGGAUAACCUACCUAUAAGACUGGGAUAACUUCGGGAAACCGGAGCUAAUACCGGAUAAUAUUUUGAACCGCAUGGUUCAAAAGUGAAAGACGGUCUUGCUGACACUUAUAGAUGGAUCCGCGCUGCAUUAGCUAGUUGGUAAGGUAACGGCUUACCAAGGCAACGAUGCAUAGCCGACCUGAGAGGGUGAUCGGCCACACUGGAACUGAGACACGGUCCAGACUCAGACGGGAGGCAGCAGUAGGGAAUCUUCCGCAAUGGGCGAAAGCCUGACGGAGCAACGCCGCGUGAGUGAUGAAGGUCUUCGGAUCGUAAAACUCUGUUAUUAGGGAAGAACAUAUGUGUAAGUAACUGUGCACAUCUUGACGGUACCUAAUCAGAAAGCCACGGCUAACUACGU
RNAcentral lists this ribosomal RNA (496 nucleotides) under uncultured bacterium. Its description in RNAcentral is "partial 16S ribosomal RNA". It matches the Rfam family "Bacterial small subunit ribosomal RNA", at positions 28 to 506 of the family's 1533-position model. The record is from RNAcentral.